CAGUAGCCACGGGAACACGUAGGGUGCAAGCGUUAAUCGGAAUUACUGGGCGUAAAGCGUGCGCAGGCGGUUUUAUAAGUCUGAUGUGAAAUCCCCGGGCUCAACCUGGGAACUGCAUUGGAGACUGUAAGGCUAGAGUGUGUCAGAGGGGGGUAGAAUUCCACGUGUAGCAGUGAAAUGCGUAGAUAUGUGGAGGAAUACCGAUGGCGAAGGCAGCCCCCUGGGAUAACACUGACGCUCAUGCACGAAAGCGUGGGGAGCAAACAGGAUUAGAUACCCCCGUAGUCCCUGUCUCUUAUAC
Molecule: ribosomal RNA, 301 nt
Filed under: uncultured bacterium
Lineage: Bacteria
Description: partial 16S ribosomal RNA
Rfam family: Bacterial small subunit ribosomal RNA
Source: RNAcentral